Long non-coding RNA from Bombus terrestris (buff-tailed bumblebee), 668 nucleotides. RefSeq lists it as uncharacterized. The record is from RefSeq and is a predicted model, not a curated record. The transcript is spliced from 2 exons. NCBI's taxonomy places the organism in Eukaryota, Metazoa, Arthropoda, Insecta, Hymenoptera, Apidae.
UUUCAAAUUGUCGUUCCUUGUUCGCUUUUCUACUCGCCAGAGUAAAAAGGAGAUUCCUCGAAAACGAUUCUCGCGGUCGGUGUUGGAUUUCGAACGAACCUGUGUUUAGUAGAAAUAUACCGUGUGCCUAUACAUAGAAGAGGAUCAAUUCAUGAUUGACGAUUUUCACACGUCGGAGUGAAAAAAAAGAUUCUUCGAGAAGGCUUCUCACGACCGAUGAUGAAUUUUUGAACGAGUUCAAUCGAAUUUCUGACCUGUUUGAUGGAAAUAUACUGUGACGGAGGAUUUUAUACAUUUUAGAAAAAGGCUAGUUUUGGUCAACAAUUUAUUUGUUAAUAUCUCUUUGUUAACACUCAGCCAACCGAAUUGGGAGAUCUGCCCUCUGUGAACAACAUCGCUGCGUGGCCGAAGGGGGAGAUGUUCCUUUUUUGAUUUUAGCAACGCGUUUUCCUUUUUUGUUUUUUUUGUUAUUAUUAUCAGUUAUUGUUUAGCUGGAAUUGUUGCCAAUUAAUUGUGCCACUUUCACUGUUUUUAUAAAGUACAGCAAUUUAGUGGUGUUAAAAUUAAUUAAGAAGUUAAACUAUCAGUUAUGGCUAAAUAAAGUUGUAAUCGAACGAUAUCACACUGUAAAAUAAUAUUAAAAUGCAUUGUGAAUUUUUAAUUUUUAA